Small nuclear RNA from Vulpes vulpes (red fox), 106 nucleotides. NCBI's taxonomy places the organism in Eukaryota, Metazoa, Chordata, Mammalia, Carnivora, Canidae. The record is from Ensembl.
GUGCUUGCUUCAGCAGCACAUAUACUAAAACUGAACGAUACAGAGAAGAUUAGCAUGACUCCUGUGCAGGAAUAACACCCAAACUCAUGAAGUAUUCCGUAUUUUA